GAGUUUGAUCGUGGCUCAGAGCGAACGCUGGCGGCAGGCCUAACACAUGCAAGUCGAACGAACUCUUCGGAGUUAGUGGCGGACGGGUGAGUAACACGUGGGAACGUGCCUUUUGGUUCGGAAUAACUCAGGGAAACUUGUGCUAAUACCGAAUGUGCCCUUCGGGGGAAAGAUUUAUCGCCAUUAGAGCGGCCCGCGUCUGAUUAGCUAGUUGGUGAGGUAAAGGCUCACCAAGGCGACGAUCAGUAGCUGGUCUGAGAGGAUGAUCAGCCACAUUGGGACUGAGACACGGCCCAAACUCCUACGGGAGGCAGCAGUGGGGAAGUCUUGCGCAAUGGGCGAAAGCCUGACGCAGCCAUGCCGCGUGAAUGAUGAAGGUCUUAGGAUUGUAAAAUUCUUUCACCGGGACGAUAAUGACGGUACCCGGAGAAGAAGCCCGGCUAACUUCGUGCCAGCAGCCG
RNAcentral lists this ribosomal RNA (461 nucleotides) under uncultured microorganism. RNAcentral's name for it is "bacterial SSU rRNA". It matches the Rfam family "Bacterial small subunit ribosomal RNA", at positions 9 to 517 of the family's 1533-position model. The record is from RNAcentral.